CGCUGGCGGCGUGCCUACAUACAUGCCAAGUCGAGCGAAUGGAUUAAGAGCUUGCUCUUAUGAAGUUAGCGGCGGACGGGUGAGUAACACGUGGGUAACCUGCCCAUAAGACUGGGAUAACUCCGGGAAACCGGGGCUAAUACCGGAUAACAUUUUGAACCGCAUGGUUCGAAAUUGAAAGGCGGCUUUCGGCUUGUCACUUAUGGAUGGACCCGCGUCGCAUUA
RNAcentral lists this ribosomal RNA (225 nucleotides) under Bacillus cereus. RNAcentral's name for it is "partial 16S rRNA". It matches the Rfam family "Bacterial small subunit ribosomal RNA", at positions 34 to 243 of the family's 1533-position model. Lineage: Bacteria; Bacillati; Bacillota; Bacilli; Caryophanales; Bacillaceae. The record is from RNAcentral.